RNAcentral lists this ribosomal RNA (464 nucleotides) under uncultured bacterium. RNAcentral describes it as "partial 16S ribosomal RNA". It matches the Rfam family "Bacterial small subunit ribosomal RNA", at positions 338 to 795 of the family's 1533-position model. The record is from RNAcentral.
CCUACGGGGGGCAGCAGUGGGGAAUAUUGCGCAAUGGGCGAAAGCCUGACGCAGCGACGCCGCGUGAGGGAUGAAGGUCUUCGGAUCGUAAACCUCUGUCAGCAGGGAAGAACGGUCACUGUGCUAAUCAGCAGUGAAUUGACGGUACCUGCAAAGGAAGCACCGGCUAACUCCGUGCCAGCAGCCGCGGUAAUACGGAGGGUGCGAGCUUUAAUCGGGAUUACUGGGCGUAAAGCGCUCGUAGGCGGUAUGUCAUGUCAGGGGUGAAACCCCGGGGCUCAACUUGGGACUGGCCUUGAAACUUGCAAACUGGAGUGUGUGAGAGGAUAGUGGAAUUCCAGGUGUAGGAGUGAAAUCCGUAGAUAUCUGGAGGAAAAUCAGUGGCGAAGGCGACUAUCUGGCACAUAACUGACGCUGAGGAGCGAAAGCGUGGGUAGCAAACAGGAUUAGAUACCCCUGUAGUC